CCUACGGGCGGCUGCAGUGAGGAAUAUUGGUCAAUGGGCGCAGGCCUGAACCAGCCAAGUAGCGUGAAGGAUGACUGCCCUAUGGGUUGUAAACUUCUUUUAUAAAGGAAUAAAGUCGGGUAUGGAUACCCGUUUGCAUGUACUUUAUGAAUAAGGAUCGGCUAACUCCGUGCCAGCAGCCGCGGUAAUACGUAUGGUGCAAGCGUUAUCCGGAUUUACUGGGUGUAAAGGGAGCGUAGAUGGAUGUUUAAGUCAGUUGUGAAAGUUUGCGGCUCAACCGUAAAAUUGCAGUUGAUACUGGAUAUCUUGAGUGCAGUUGAGGCAGGCGGAAUUCGUGGUGUAGCGGUGAAAUGCUUAGAUAACACGAAGAACUCCGAUUGCGAAGGCAGCCUGCUAAGCUGCAACUGACAUUGAGGCUCGAAAG
Molecule: ribosomal RNA, 424 nt
Filed under: uncultured Parabacteroides sp.
Lineage: Bacteria; Pseudomonadati; Bacteroidota; Bacteroidia; Bacteroidales; Tannerellaceae
Description: bacterial SSU rRNA
Rfam family: Bacterial small subunit ribosomal RNA
Source: RNAcentral